CCUACGGGAGGCAGCAGUGAGGAAUAUUGGUCAAUGGACGAGAGUCUGAACCAGCCAAGCAGCGUGAAGGAUGACUGCUCUAUGGGUUGUAAACUUCUUUUAUAAGGGAAUAAAACGAGGUACGCGUGCCUUUUUGCAUGUACUUUAUGAAUAAGGAUCGGCUAACUCCGUGCCAGCAGCCGCGGUAAUACGGAGGAUCCGAGCGUUAUCCGGAUUUAUUGGGUUUAAAGGGUGCGUAGAUGGGUUGUUAAGUCAGUUGUGAAAGUUUGCGGCUCAACCGUAAAAUUGCAAUUGAUACUGGCAGUCUAGAGUACAGUUGAGGUAGGCGGAAUGCGUGGUGUAGCGGUGAAAUGCUUAGAUAUCACGAAGAACCCCGAUUGCGAAGGCAGCUUACUAAACUGUGACUGACAUUGAUGCUCGAAAGUGUGGGUAUCAAACAGGAUUAGAUACCCUUGUAGUC
This 460-nucleotide ribosomal RNA is filed under the name uncultured bacterium. RNAcentral describes it as "partial 16S ribosomal RNA". It matches the Rfam family "Bacterial small subunit ribosomal RNA", at positions 338 to 795 of the family's 1533-position model. The record is from RNAcentral.